CCUACGGUAGGCUGCAGUGGGGGAUAUUGCACAAUGGGGGAAACCCUGAUGCAGCGACGCCGCGUGAGUGAAGAAGUAUUUCGGUAUGUAAAGCUCUAUCAGCAGGGAAGAAAAUGACUGUACCUGAUCACGAAGCCCCGGCUAACUACGUGCCAGCAGCCGCGGUAAUACGUAGGGGGCAAGCGUUAUCCGGAUUUACUGGGUGGAAAGGGAGCGUAGACGGGUAUGUAAGUCUGGAGUGAAAGCCCGGGGCCCAACCCCGGGACUGCUUUGGAAACUGUGUAACUGGAGUACAGGAGGGGCAGGCGGAAUGCCUGGUGUAGCGGUGAAAUGCGUAGAUAUCAGGAGGAACACCGGCGGCGAAGGCGGCCUGCUGGACUGAAACUGACGUUGAGGCUCGAAAGCGUGGGGAGCGAACAGGAUUAGAUACCCGGGUAGUC
This 440-nucleotide ribosomal RNA is filed under the name uncultured bacterium. RNAcentral describes it as "partial 16S ribosomal RNA". It matches the Rfam family "Bacterial small subunit ribosomal RNA", at positions 338 to 795 of the family's 1533-position model. The record is from RNAcentral.